This 182-nucleotide unclassified non-coding RNA is filed under the name soil metagenome. RNAcentral describes it as "partial internal transcribed spacer 1". The record is from RNAcentral.
CCGAGUUUACAACUCCCAAACCUAAUGUGAACGUUACCAAACUGUUGCCUCGGCGGGGUCACGCCCCGGGUGCGUAAAAGCCCCGGAACCAGGCGCCCGCCGGAGGAACCAACCAAACUCUUUCUGUAGUCCCCUCGCGGACGUAUUUCUUACAGCUCUGAGCAAAAAUUCAAAAUGAAUCA